CGCGUAGGUGGUAGUGUAAGUCUGGGGUGGAAUCCCAGGGCUUAACCCUGGAACUGCCUUGGAAACUGCAUUACUUGAGUCAGUGAGGGGAGGGUAGAAUUCCUGGUGUAGCGGUGAAAUGCGUAGAUAUCAGGAGGAAGGCCUGUGGCGAAGGCGGCCCUCUGGCGCUGGACUGACACUGAGGCGCGAAAGCGUGGGGAGCAAACAGGAUUAGAUACCCUGGUAGUCCACGCCCUAAACGGUGGGCACUAGGUGUAGGGCUCGUAAGGGUUCUGUGCCGAAGGGAAACCAUUAAGUGCCCCGCCUGGGGAGUACGGCCGCAGGGUUGAA
This 330-nucleotide ribosomal RNA is filed under the name uncultured bacterium. Its description in RNAcentral is "bacterial SSU rRNA". It matches the Rfam family "Bacterial small subunit ribosomal RNA", at positions 568 to 898 of the family's 1533-position model. The record is from RNAcentral.